AGACUGCGUUUGAAACUGUAUAUCUUGAGUGCAGCAGAGGAGAGUGGAAUUUCUAGUGUAGUGGUGGAAUACGUAGAUAUUAGAAAGAACACCAGUGGCGAAGGCGACUCUCUGGGCUGACACUGACGCUCAGGUACGAAAGCUGGAGGAGCGAACGGGAUUAGAUACCCCGGUAGUUCCAGCUGUAAACGAUGGACACUAGGUGUUGGGGGUUCGAUUCCCUCAGUGCCGUAGUUAACGCAGUAAGUGUCCCGCCUGGGGAUUACGGUCGCAAGACUGAAACUCAAAGGAAUUGACGGGGGCCCGCACAAGCGGUGGAGCAUGUGGUUUAAUUCGAAGCAACGCGAAGAACCUUACCGAGGUUUGACAUCCUGUGACCACCUAUGAAAGUAGG
This 394-nucleotide ribosomal RNA is filed under the name uncultured bacterium. RNAcentral's name for it is "bacterial SSU rRNA". It matches the Rfam family "Bacterial small subunit ribosomal RNA", at positions 618 to 1011 of the family's 1533-position model. The record is from RNAcentral.